GACGAACGCUGGCGGCGUGCUUAACACAUGCAAGUCGAACGGAGUGCUCAUGACAGAGGUUUCGGCCAAUGAAGUGAGUUACUUAGUGGCGGACUGGUGAGUAACGCGUGAGGAACCUGCCUUUCAGAGGGGGACAACAGUUGGAAACGGCUGCUAAUACCGCAUAAUGCAUUUGGGUGGCAUCACUUGAAUGUCAAAGAUUUAUCGCUGAAAGAUGGCCUCGCGUCCGAUUAGAUAGUUGGUGGGGUAACGGCCCACCAAGUCGACGAUCGGUAGCCGGACUGAGAGGUUGGCCGGCCACAUUGGGACUGAGAUACGGCCCAGACUCCUACGGGAGGCAGCAGUGGGGAAUAUUGGGCAAUGGACGCAAGUCUGACCCAGCAACGCCGCGUGAAGGAAGAAGGCUUUCGGGUUGUAAACUUCUUUUAAGGGGGAAGAGUAGAAGACGGUACCCCUUGAAUAAGCCACGGC
Molecule: ribosomal RNA, 471 nt
Filed under: uncultured bacterium
Lineage: Bacteria
Description: bacterial SSU rRNA
Rfam family: Bacterial small subunit ribosomal RNA
Source: RNAcentral